This 260-nucleotide unclassified non-coding RNA is filed under the name Hevea brasiliensis (rubber tree). Lineage: Eukaryota; Viridiplantae; Streptophyta; Magnoliopsida; Malpighiales; Euphorbiaceae. The record is from RNAcentral.
CAGGGAAGUCAAUCAGUCUCGGGUUGUGCAGGCUAUAAGGAGCAGGUUCCAAACACCAUCUACAAAGUUCAUAAUCAAGUCAUCGAUUGUAUUCUUAGUUCUUGGAGUUCUCACCAUUCUCUUUCCAACCGAGGAAGGUCCAACCCUUCAGGUUGCUAUAUCACUCAUAGCUACUUUCUAUUUCAUACAUGAUCGACUGAAGAGCAAACUCCAAGCAUUUCUUUAUGGGGCUGGAGCUUUUAUAUUCUCAUGGCUGUUAG